Cebus imitator (Panamanian white-faced capuchin) is the source of this 606-nucleotide long non-coding RNA. RefSeq lists it as uncharacterized. NCBI's taxonomy places the organism in Eukaryota, Metazoa, Chordata, Mammalia, Primates, Cebidae. The record is from RefSeq and is a predicted model, not a curated record. The transcript has 3 exons.
UGCAGCCCAGGAACAGCCAGUGCAUCCAGAACCAGCUGACCACCAGCAUGAUGAGGGAUAUGGGGAAGCUGAAGAGGAACCAGGUGCCGAAGUUCACCACGUCUGCGGCUGGAUACUGGCUGGAGGGCAAAGAACCAGUGGAAUCAUGCCAGGAAGACCAUUAUUCGUUCAGUUGCCUUACAAUCUUAGGAUACUCAAAUAAAAUAUUUGCAGUGUCCCUGAAGCAUCUUUGAAGGCGGGUUUGAGGACCUCUGAUCUACAUCAACCCCCAGCUUUUCUAGUUGAAGACACGGGGGCUCAGGCAUUGGACUGCCUUGCUACAGUCAAAGACAGGGUCUCACUAUGUUGUCCAGGCUGGGCUCAAAUUCCUGGGCCACAGCGAUCCUCCUGCCUCAGCCUCCUAAGUAGCUGGAACUAUAUGGGCACACCACUGUGCCCAGCUGAAGUCCACCAUUUUACUGGCCUUUUACACCUCUCAUGAAAAGAUGUAAAACCAGACUUGGGGGAGUGAGGUAAGUUCGAGUAGCUGUAUGCAGGUAAACUCUGCUUUCCCCUAUAAAUGUGUCCUUUUAAUUUUAUUUUUUGAGAUGGGGGUCUUGCUCUGUU